UACAGAGGGUGCAAGCGUUGUUCGGAAUUAUUGGGCGUAAAGGGUGCGUAGGCGGUUUGGUAAGUCUGAUGUGAAAUCUAUGGGCUCAACUCAUAGUCUGCAUCGGAAACUGCCGGGCUUGAGUGUGGGAGAGGUGAGUGGAAUUCCUGGUGUAGCGGUGAAAUGCGUAGAUAUCAGGAGGAACACCUGUGGCGAAAGCGGCUCACUGGACCAUAACUGACGCUGAUGCACGAAAGCUAGGGGAGCAAACAGG
This 253-nucleotide ribosomal RNA is filed under the name uncultured bacterium. RNAcentral describes it as "partial 16S ribosomal RNA". It matches the Rfam family "Bacterial small subunit ribosomal RNA", at positions 524 to 776 of the family's 1533-position model. The record is from RNAcentral.